This 398-nucleotide ribosomal RNA is filed under the name uncultured bacterium. RNAcentral describes it as "partial 16S ribosomal RNA". It matches the Rfam family "Bacterial small subunit ribosomal RNA", at positions 523 to 918 of the family's 1533-position model. The record is from RNAcentral.
AUACGUAGGGUGCGAGCGUUGUCCGGAAUUACUGGGCGUAAAGAGCUCGUAGGUGGUUUGUCGCGUCGUCUGUGAAAUUCCGGGGCUUAACUCCGGGCGUGCAGGCGAUACGGGCAUAACUUGAGUACUGUAGGGGAGACUGGAAUUCCUGGUGUAGCGGUGAAAUGCGCAGAUAUCAGGAGGAACACCGGUGGCGAAGGCGGGUCUCUGGGCAGUAACUGACGCUGAGGAGCGAAAGCAUGGGUAGCGAACAGGAUUUGAUACCCUGGUAGUCCAUGCCGUAAACGGUGGGCGCUAGGUGUAGGGGUCUUCCACGACUUCUGUGCCGUAGCUAACGCAUUAAGCGCCCCGCCUGGGGAGUACGGCCGCAAGGCUAAAACUCAAAUGAAUUGACGGGG